GACGAACGCUGGCGGCGUGCUUAACACAUGCAAGUCGAACGGAAAGGCCCUGCUUUUGUGGGGUGCUCGAGUGGCGAACGGGUGAGUAACACGUGAGUAACCUGCCCUUGACUUUGGGAUAACUUCAGGAAACUGGGGCUAAUACCGGAUAGGAGCUCCUGCUGCAUGGUGGGGGUUGGAAAGUUUCGGCGGUUGGGGAUGGACUCGCGGCUUAUCAGCUUGUUGGUGGGGUAGUGGCUUACCAAGGCUUUGACGGGUAGCCGGCCUGAGAGGGUGACCGGCCACAUUGGGACUGAGAUACGGCACAGACUCCUACGGGAGGCAGCAGUGGGGAAUAUUGCACAAUGGGCGGAAGCCUGAUGCAGCAACGCCGCGUGCGGGAUGACGGCCUUCGGGUUGUAAACCGCUUUCGCCUGUGACGAAGCGUGAGUGACAGUAAUGGGUAAAGAAGCACCGGCUAACUACGUG
Molecule: ribosomal RNA, 468 nt
Filed under: uncultured bacterium
Lineage: Bacteria
Description: partial 16S ribosomal RNA
Rfam family: Bacterial small subunit ribosomal RNA
Source: RNAcentral